UACGUAGGGUGCGAGCGUUAAUCGGAAUUACUGGGCGUAAAGCGUGCGCAGGCGGUUUUGUAAGCCAGAUGUGAAAUCCCCGGGCUUAACCUGGGAAUGGCAUUUGGGACUGCAAGGCUGGAGUACGGCAGAGGAGACUGGAAUUCCUGGUGUAGCAGUGAAAUGCGUAGAGAUCAGGAGGAAUACCGAUGGCGAAGGCAGGUCUCUGGGCUGAUACUGAUGCUCAUGCACGAAAGCGUGGGGAGCAAACAGG
This 253-nucleotide ribosomal RNA is filed under the name uncultured bacterium. RNAcentral's name for it is "partial 16S ribosomal RNA". It matches the Rfam family "Bacterial small subunit ribosomal RNA", at positions 524 to 776 of the family's 1533-position model. The record is from RNAcentral.